UUAAGCGACUAAGCGUACACGGUGGAUGCCCUGGCAGUCAGAGGCGAUGAAGGACGUGCUAAUCUGCGAUAAGCGUCGGUGAGGUGAUAUGAACCGUUAUAACCGGCGAUUUCCGAAUGGGGAAACCCAGUGUGUUUCGACACACUAUCAUUAACUGAAUCCAUAGGUUAAUGAGGCGAACCGGGGGAACUGAAACAUCUAAGUACCCCGAGGAAAAGAAAUCAACCGAGAUUCCCCCAGUAGCGGCGAGCGAACGGGGAGGAGCCCAGAGCCUGAAUCAGUGUGUGUGUUAGUGGAAGCGUCUGGAAAGGCGCGCGAUACAGGGUGACAGCCCCGUACACAAAAAUGCACAUACUGUGAGCUCGAUGAGUAGGGCGGGACACGUGGUAUCCUGUCUGAAUAUGGGGGGACCAUCCUCCAAGGCUAAAUACUCCUGACUGACCGAUAGUGAACCAGUACCGUGAGGGAAAGGCGAAAAGAACCCCGGCGAGGGGAGUGAAAAAGAACCUGAAACCGUGUACGUACAAGCAGUGGGAGCCUCUUAAUGGGGUGACUGCGUACCUUUUGUAUAAUGGGUCAGCGACUUAUAUUCUGUAGCAAGGUUAACCGAAUAGGGGAGCCGAAGGGAAACCGAGUCUUAACUGGGCGUUAAGUUGCAGGGUAUAGACCCGAAACCCGGUGAUCUAGCCAUGGGCAGGUUGAAGGUUGGGUAACACUAACUGGAGGACCGAACCGACUAAUGUUGAAAAAUUAGCGGAUGACUUGUGGCUGGGGGUGAAAGGCCAAUCAAAUCGGGAGAUAGCUGGUUCUCCCCGAAAGCUAUUUAGGUAGCGCCUCGUGAAUUCAUCUCCGGGGGUAGAGCACUGUUUCGGCAAGGGGGUCAUCCCGACUUACCAACCCGAUGCAAACUGCGAAUACCGGAGAAUGUUAUCACGGGAGACACACGGCGGGUGCUAACGUCCGUCGUGAAGAGGGAAACAACCCAGACCGCCAGCUAAGGUCCCAAAGUCAUGGUUAAGUGGGAAACGAUGUGGGAAGGCCCAGACAGCCAGGAUGUUGGCUUAGAAGCAGCCAUCAUUUAAAGAAAGCGUAAUAGCUCACUGGUCGAGUCGGCCUGCGCGGAAGAUGUAACGGGGCUAAACCAUGCACCGAAGCUGCGGCAGCGACACUAUGUGUUGUUGGGUAGGGGAGCGUUCUGUAAGCCUGUGAAGGUGUACUGUGAGGUAUGCUGGAGGUAUCAGAAGUGCGAAUGCUGACAUAAGUAACGAUAAAGCGGGUGAAAAGCCCGCUCGCCGGAAGACCAAGGGUUCCUGUCCAACGUUAAUCGGGGCAGGGUGAGUCGACCCCUAAGGCGAGGCCGAAAGGCGUAGUCGAUGGGAAACAGGUUAAUAUUCCUGUACUUGGUGUUACUGCGAAGGGGGGACGGAGAAGGCUAUGUUGGCCGGGCGACGGUUGUCCCGGUUUAAGCGUGUAGGCUGGUUUUCCAGGCAAAUCCGGAAAAUCAAGGCUGAGGCGUGAUGACGAGGCACUACGGUGCUGAAGCGACAAAUGCCCUGCUUCCAGGAAAAGCCUCUAAGCAUCAGGUAACAUCAAAUCGUACCCCAAACCGACACAGGUGGUCAGGUAGAGAAUACCAAGGCGCUUGAGAGAACUCGGGUGAAGGAACUAGGCAAAAUGGUGCCGUAACUUCGGGAGAAGGCACGCUGAUAUGUAGGUGAAGCGACUUGCUCGUGGAGCUGAAAUCAGUCGAAGAUACCAGCUGGCUGCAACUGUUUAUUAAAAACACAGCACUGUGCAAACACGAAAGUGGACGUAUACGGUGUGACGCCUGCCCGGUGCCGGAAGGUUAAUUGAUGGGGUUAGCGGUAACGCGAAGCUCUUGAUCGAAGCCCCGGUAAACGGCGGCCGUAACUAUAACGGUCCUAAGGUAGCGAAAUUCCUUGUCGGGUAAGUUCCGACCUGCACGAAUGGCGUAAUGAUGGCCAGGCUGUCUCCACCCGAGACUCAGUGAAAUUGAACUCGCUGUGAAGAUGCAGUGUACCCGCGGCAAGACGGAAAGACCCCGUGAACCUUUACUAUAGCUUGACACUGAACAUUGAGCCUUGAUGUGUAGGAUAGGUGGGAGGCUUUGAAGUGUGGACGCCAGUCUGCAUGGAGCCGACCUUGAAAUACCACCCUUUAAUGUUUGAUGUUCUAACGUGGGCCCCUUACCGGGGUUGCGGACAGUGUCUGGUGGGUAGUUUGACUGGGGCGGUCUCCUCCUAAAGAGUAACGGAGGAGCACGAAGGUUGGCUAAUCCUGGUCGGACAUCAGGAGGUUAGUGCAAUGGCAUAAGCCAGCUUGACUGCGAGCGUGACGGCGCGAGCAGGUGCGAAAGCAGGUCAUAGUGAUCCGGUGGUUCUGAAUGGAAGGGCCAUCGCUCAACGGAUAAAAGGUACUCCGGGGAUAACAGGCUGAUACCGCCCAAGAGUUCAUAUCGACGGCGGUGUUUGGCACCUCGAUGUCGGCUCAUCACAUCCUGGGGCUGAAGUAGGUCCCAAGGGUAUGGCUGUUCGCCAUUUAAAGUGGUACGCGAGCUGGGUUUAGAACGUCGUGAGACAGUUCGGUCCCUAUCUGCCGUGGGCGCUGGAGAACUGAGGGGGGCUGCUCCUAGUACGAGAGGACCGGAGUGGACGCAUCACUGGUGUUCGGGUUGUCAUGCCAAUGGCACUGCCCGGUAGCUAAAUGCGGAAGAGAUAAGUGCUGAAAGCAUCUAAGCACGAAACUUGCCCCGAGAUGAGUUCUCCCUGACUCCUUGAGAGUCCUGAAGGAACGUUGAAGACGACGACGUUGAUAGGCCGGGUGUGUAAGCGCAGCGAUGCGUUGAGCUAACCGGUACUAAUGAACCGUGAGGCUUAACCUU
Molecule: ribosomal RNA, 2902 nt
Filed under: Escherichia coli KTE175
Lineage: Bacteria; Pseudomonadati; Pseudomonadota; Gammaproteobacteria; Enterobacterales; Enterobacteriaceae
Description: bacterial LSU rRNA
Rfam family: Bacterial large subunit ribosomal RNA
Source: RNAcentral